CAGGUGACACACUCACCUGUCUGUGUUUCUGCAGGUUCAACAUUCACAAUGUGACGACAACUUAAUGACUGUGUUUGCUUUAUUUUAGACAAACACACCACCGCACCUCCACCUACAUCCACACUCCCACCUACAUCCACCUCUCCUCCUGGUUCCUCUGUCAUACCUGUGCUGUCAUCUGUUGGAUCAGUCUGUUUUCUGAUCCUACUGGUGUUACUGGUUUUGUUGAUUAGACAACAUGUUCACAGGAAACCUAAAGAUCAAGCUGUGAAAGAAGAGAUCACAUACAGUGACAUUAGAAUAAAACAUCAUCAACAACAACAACCAAUAAAACAAAACAAAGAAGGUGAUCCAGCUGUAAUCUACUCAGGAGUGAGAAAUGACGACAUCAAUUAUGAACAAAUCGUCAUCACAGACAAGCAAGAAAAAUCAAAGACGAGAGGUACAGCAGCUCUUCUUUGUCUCCAUCCUUCACUUCUACAGCCAGACUCUGAGGCUGUGGUUUAGCAGGGUUAAGCUUCACCAUGUUAGUCAUGCUAGCAUCUUCUAAUUAGCAUAAGGCUGAUGAAAAUACAAUGGAUGGAUGGUUAACGUUUAUUACAGUUUAUCGGCUGCACACACAAAAUCACACACAUGUCACCCACAUUCUGGAAAAUGCAAUCAAUAGGAUAACUGCAUUAUGCACAAAAUUAUAAUUAAUUAAUUCAAACAAGAUCAUAUUUUCAUGCAAAAUGAUUUGUUCUCAUAAGAUCAUCCAUCCAUCAUUUCUUACUACUUAUGUAGGUGCAACAGCUUAAACAGCUCUGCUCUGAAGGUCUUCUGGGGAAAAAUCACUGCGUUCCCAACCAGCUGAAAGACAUGUUCUGAGAAAACGGUCCAGUCAGACUGUGGCUGUAUUUGGAUUCAAAAUGUACAACCCAGGAAAUUGCUGAAUUCUGUUUAACAAGUUUAUUUACAAAACUUAAACAACAACCUCCUGAGACUGGGACCAAACAGGUUGGUGAGACUAAUUCAGAGCAUAGUGUGAAUAAUGCAGUUGUGCUCAGUGUUUACUUGGUAUUUCUCCACAGAGUGGUGGAGGGUGGUGAGUUAAGCAGGUGAAUCUCAGUCCUCUUUCCAAUCUAAAUUCCAAGGUGAAUCACGCAGAAGGUGAUUUUAAAAUCAGACACUAGUACAAUGAAAAAAACAAACAAACAAACAAAGGAGCUACUCCCAGAAGUUGUCUAGUAGUGUUUUGUGGGAGAAACGUUUUGUCACACAUCCAGGUGACUCCUUCAGUCUCAGCUGACGGCAGGUU
RNA transcript from Haplochromis burtoni (Burton's mouthbrooder), 1297 nucleotides. RefSeq lists it as uncharacterized. The record is from RefSeq and is a predicted model, not a curated record. NCBI's taxonomy places the organism in Eukaryota, Metazoa, Chordata, Actinopteri, Cichliformes, Cichlidae. The transcript is spliced from 3 exons.